UUCGAACCAUAAGGCGCACUGCAGAUGAGGAGGUCUAUUUUCAUUCAAAAGGCGCAUUAAAGGGGUCAUAUUAUGAUUUUAUUUUUUCUACAUUCAAAACACUUCCUUGUGGUCUAUGUAACCCAUAUUUAAAAUAUCCAUUGAAAACAUGCAUACAGUGCAAAGACUUUUAUUGUGGAGGGUUACUUCCUGCCGCUCACUUCCUUUUAAGGAAGUGCUGCUCACUUCACCACCCCCUCCCGUAUCUGCUGUGGCUGCGGUGCUGUGAGAAGCGCUUGAGAAGAAACUUGCAAUAUCUUCUCAUUCUCACACUUUGCAAACUUCAUAAUUAGAGCUGCCAUGUUCGAUUAAUUAUCGGGCCGUUCAUGGUAUGUUGUUUUUGCCCUCGAUUACUCAGGUCAGGUUUUUUUUCCGGGAAGGAAUACCCGUUGACCCAAACAACCUGAGCUCCCUAUCCACCUUCAAACUCAACUCAACAAAUGGCGAGCUAAACAACUACGCGGUAGGACAAGCAUUUUUUUUCUCCUCCGCGGCGAACCUUUUGGAUUACUUUUGUUUUUGAACUGAACUUUUGGACUGACGCGAAAGCGUUUGCAUACCUUUUGAACUGAACUGUGAACUGGUUCCGAGAAAGCAGCAGGACUCCAUCUUGUAUUUUUGUUUUGGGCUUUUUCUUUUUUUUUUCCUAUUGUGUCAUUUGUGGCAUUUAUAUUCUUGUUCAAUACAUUUAAUGCAGUCAAAACCAAAAUAACUAGUCGUCAUCAUCUUUCAUACCACAGGCUCCUGGACCAACCAUCUUCUGUCACACUGUUUACAUUCUUAACCUGCCUAGCCCAUGCUAGCGUUACAUCUACAUAACAUGUAAUGGUGGUUAUUUGGUCAAAAUGUUGCAUAGAUUAUGUUUUACAGAUCAUCUUCAAGACGCUUUUUCUCUUCUGGAUGCGCUGUUUUAUGGUCUUAUUUACGUCAACAGCGUCUUCUCCUCAUCAUCUUUGUUGUAUCGGUAGUUUUUAGCGCUUCCAUGGCGAGUCUACUGACCAUACUU
Long non-coding RNA from Entelurus aequoreus (snake pipefish), 1045 nucleotides. RefSeq lists it as uncharacterized. The transcript has 3 exons. NCBI's taxonomy places the organism in Eukaryota, Metazoa, Chordata, Actinopteri, Syngnathiformes, Syngnathidae. The record is from RefSeq and is a predicted model, not a curated record.